GACGAACGCUGGCGGCGUGCUUAACACAUGCAAGUCGAACGCUGAACCCGCUUCGGUGGGGGAUGAGUGGCGAACGGGUGAGUAACACGUGGGCAACCUGCCCCCGGCUCUGGGAUAACUCCAAGAAAUUGGGGCUAAUACCGGAUGUGACCGCUGGCCGCAUGGUCUGGUGGUGGAAAGGGUUUCCGGCUGGGGAUGGGCCCGCGGCCUAUCAGCUUGUUGGUGGGGUAGUGGCCUACCAAGGCGACGACGGGUAGCCGGCCUGGGAGGGUGACCGGCCACACUGGGACGGAGACACGGCCCAGACUCCUACGGGAGGCAGCAGUGGGGAAUAUUGCGCAAGGGGCGGAAGCCUGACGCAGCGACGCCGCGUGGGGGAUGACGGCCUUCGGGUUGUAAACCUCUUUCAGCAGGGACGAAGCGCAAGUGACGGUACCUGCAGAAGAAGCACCGGCCAACUACGU
Molecule: ribosomal RNA, 464 nt
Filed under: uncultured bacterium
Lineage: Bacteria
Description: partial 16S ribosomal RNA
Rfam family: Bacterial small subunit ribosomal RNA
Source: RNAcentral